Molecule: RNA transcript, 5694 nt
Organism: Haliotis rubra (blacklip abalone)
Lineage: Eukaryota; Metazoa; Mollusca; Gastropoda; Lepetellida; Haliotidae
Exons: 5
Source: RefSeq, a predicted model, not a curated record
UUAAUAAUAAUUUAUCAGAUAUUUGUACAUUACUUCUAUUGAAGUUAAUUUCCUUCUCCCCGGAAUCCUCUUGUGAUAUAUAAUGUACAGGUGUUGCUCCAAAGGUAAGAUGAUUUAUUUCACUUUUAUUACAUCCAACAUAAGCAGUGCCUACAUAUCUCAUCGCCAGGCUUUUUCAGAUUGACGGGGUACGGAGUUCAGACGUAGGAGGGCCUACGAUGGAGUAAGAAUGACAGGGGUUCAGACUAAAGGAGUUCACACUACCAUUGGUUCAGACUGACUUGGUUCAAACUGUCGGCAUCCCGCCAAAUGGGGCUUUAGAUUGCUUUGAAGCAGGAUUUGAUAUAUUUAGUGAUGAUUAUGAUAUUAGUUUUAUUAUUACAUUUUAGCUAUUAACUAUUUCAUGCUAUCUUCACAUGGUUGGUGUCAUUCAUAUUCAGUCAAACAUCUACCUGCAUUACUUUGGAUAUAUUUGUAGAUUUUGGAACUCAUCAAUGAUAUAAUCAGUUUCAGAAAAUCUCGCAUUAUCCACAGUCAAUAUUGCUAGCUUAACAGUCAAUUCUUGUGAGCGGAUAUACUGAGCAUAGAGAGUUAUUCUUGUCCCGAUGCAAAUAUAUAAGAAUAUUUCGUAACCAAAAGCAGCUUUGAUAUUACGAUAUAAUAUUACAUGUUUAUCUUUCCUUUUCGUAAGUAAUCUUUUAAAAUAAUAUGAAACAUGUUCUUACUAUGUACAAUGUCUUUACUCAACAUUGCGCAAUUAUCUGUUGACCAAAAUGCCAUUUUCUAAUCAUAGUAGAUCCUAUAUGUUUUAUGUACAUUUUGUUGUAGGUUCUCCAAGACACAUGGGCUUGAAGAUGUGAAAUGGUUGUAACUUUGAAACCAGUGAUGUACAUUCGAUGUGGGCUUGACGCUGUAAAACCUUACACGGAGCGUCGCCGCGGCACUAUCUGGUACAGACGAAGCUCUGUGACAAUGGGGCGUUUCAUAGAGGUGGCGCUACUCCUGGUGGCCCUUGGAAGAGUUGACGGGUCAUCAACUGUCAUGAUACAAUCCUCGGAAUCACCAUCUGCAAGUGUAUCAACAAAUGUCCCAGCUGUAUCUAACAGCCCAGUGACUGGUGAGCAGGAAAACGAAGAAGGUGUGAGCUACCUGCUGACAAAUAUUCAUACAGUUGUAUCAGCAGGAGGGGAAAGCGGGGGAUUCUACCUGGUUGAUAUUCCACAGCUGGGAUAUAACGUCAAAACGACUGUAGCGCCAUACAGCAGGGGUGAUACUUAUAUAGAUACGUCUGUAAUGGUGACGGUCGGUGUGGAAACCAAGGCUUUCGUAAUCCACGUCUUCGGUAAGGACAUCAGUAUUUCCGGAUACAGUGGAGGCAGCAUAUUUUCUCCCCUCCCGAUCUCGGCCCUCGGUUCCAGGUAUGUAGUGUCCACCUGCCUGGGUUACACGGACCACGUGGUGUUAGUGAUUGCUAACUACAACCAGAAGACGGACGUGGACAUAACGCUGAUGCUGGAGGGGAACGUCACCUAUGACAACAUGACAUACAACGACGGACACACGAUCCACGUGAGUCUAGAUGAGUAUCAGACCUUCACGUUGAAGAGCGCCUAUGACCUGACUGGAACUGUUAUCAACACAACACGUGCUGUAGCUGUGUUCAGUGGAUCAAGGCAAGGAAGUGAUGUCACAGCCGUUGCACAACUAUUACCUGUACGGCAUCAUGGCACAGAGUUUGUCCUGUCUACACAGGAUUUAUCCUCUGAAAGGGGCCCUGCAUACCAGCUGCAAAUUGUUAGUGAACAGUUCGACGCUGAAAUUAUGUUGAACAAUGGAUCUAUAUUCUCUCUUGGUGACAGCCGUGUGUAUCGUCAAAACCUCACGUAUAACGAGACACUGUAUUUUAAUACCACAAGACCUGCCCUUGCAACCUUGUGUAGAUUUGCCGCAUCAAUAUGCUACCAUGGGUAUGUUGUUGUAACUCCAGUUGAGUAUUUUAUUAACAAUGCACAGGUUUCUGAUGCAGAAUGUAUAAACAUACUGACUAAACAACACGUAACAGAUAUUGAAGUAUUUAGGAGUGGCAUGACCCCUGUUACACUGGACUGGAUGGCCAUCCCUGGCAGUGAUUACAAACAAGGAACAACUUGUUCUUAUGACAGUUACUUUGUCCGCGCUACCAACAGAUUCGCUCUGUAUGGGUUUUACUACGAUAUUACCACAGGAGGCUACUAUUUCCCAGCUGACCCAUCAACCACACCUGCCGCUAGACGUAAGUUGUACGAUAUUCUGAUUUUGGAAAAAGAUAAAAUUUAAACAGGAGAUGUACAUACGUUGUUUUCAGUGUAAGAUUAUGGAAUCUGUAGAUUUAUCGCUUUAUUGGAAUUACAAUGUAGUUAGGCAACGACACCUUAACUGUUGCUGUGUGUCAGAAAUAUGACCCAUAUAUUUGUUUGAUAGAUAGAAGGGGGCGUGUGGCGAACAUAUGUAAUACACAUAGAUGAACAAGAGUCUCUACGAGAAACAUACAAGAAAUAUAUUUUGAGUAUGAUUUCAUGUGUCAUUCAAACUGCAUGAGCGAAGAAAUAAGUAAAUGUAUAACGGGAUCUGAGACACGAACGGCUUCACUUCAGCAUUUUUCAAUAAUGUUAUUAACUUAAGUUCGGUGGACAAUUAGAAUAAUUCAUGCUUAAACUGUGGUCAUUAUGUGUAUCUUGAAUAUUUACAAUAUUUGUUCACAUUUUGAAUAUUCUUUUAAUAACCAAAUUACCGUCACUGUGUGUUUCCUGGAUACUUACGAUUUAUUUUUGGAGAUUAAAUAUUCAUAUUUUAAUAACAUUCAGGUCACCAUGAGUGAAAUGUUUGUGUGUGGAGUAAUGAAAGAGGAUGCGUGCAUUAUUUUCAAUUCUGUCACUUUCUGCUUUACACACUUACUCCAACGUCUGUCACCCUUUGUCGCUUACCUCUAACCAAGGAAAUAAGCUUUCGUCAGUGCUACACCGGCUUAUCUACGAAAGCCUAAUGCUGCUACAUUUCUAGCAUAAAAUAUUUUCAGCGACAUCUCGUUGCUUUGAUUAUUUGGUGCAUGGGAGUAUUUUCUCGCUUUUCAAUUAUUUUCGCGUUACAUCAAGUAUUUUCUCCUUGCAUCUAGUAUUUUCUCGUUGUUUCGAGUUUUUUUCUCAUUGCAACGAGAAAAUACUAGAAGCAAUGAAAAAAUAGUUGAGAAAAUAAUCUAAGCAACGAGAAAAACAAGUCAAUACUCGAAAUUUCAAGGGUUUUUUGCAGAAACUUGAAGCAACGAGAAAAUAUUCGGAACAACGAAAACUUUCGCUAAAAAAAUAGCGUAUGCUACAAAAUUGGCAGCAUUAGGCUGUCGUACUUAUCUACACUAUAUGUAGUCAAUACUUCACGGGAUUGUGUACGCAAUACACCUUCAAUAUUUCACGAUUUUGUUCAUUUUCAGCACUUUACAGGAUUUUAAAACCAAUGUAUAACAAGCAAGUGCGGCCUGCAUACUGGAGAUAGAAAUGUUUAACACCACAUAUAGAAUUACCCUAUCAGUAAACGUAUUCAGUGUGGCCAGCGGAAGCUUAACCACAAGGUUGCCAUAGUAACUAAUAUGUUUGUAAGAAAUAUUAGGUGUUAUACAACCGAGAACAUUGCAUCCAUUUAUGUAAUAGUCAUCCUGUCAUGCCUCAGGAUUUUAGACACUUCUAGCUUUAUGUUACUACCAUAGCUGUGGAUCUCUCUGCUUCAAUCAUUAUUUAUACUCUCACUUAUAUUAUCAUUCAGUAAUGUUGAACAUGUUAUCUAACAAAUAUUUGAAUUGCAUAUCAUGUUUCAAAGCUUUGUGUUACCUUACCUUGCAAUGUCAGUAUAUGGAUAGUAUAAUUAUGAAGUUUUUUAAGCUGAACAUUUUUAACACUUUGAUCAGUAAUAAUAAUGUAUCAGAUUGUUGUACAUGAAUUGAACUGUAUUUUCUUCUCUCCACAAUCUACUUGCCACAUGUAAUGCCCAGGUGUUGCUAAAAAGGUAAUAUGGUAAUACAGAAGCAGAUCUCAUCUGGACCUUCUACACUAACUGAAGCCUGAUUCGUGUAUUCAAUACUGUAUCAAGGAAUUGGCAUGCAUUAAGGGGUUUCAGACUGAUGUGACCCGGAUUGACAAGGUUCCGACUGACGGUGUCCGGAUUGACAAGGGUUCCGUCUGACGGUGUCCGGAUUGACAUGAGCGGUUCAGAUUGACGGUGUCUGGAUUGACAGGGGUUCAGAUUGACGUGAUCCGGAUACACAGGCGUCCAUAUUUUCUAUUAUUUUUUCUUAAACAACUGUUGUAUUUUGACUUCAUUAAGAUUGAGCCAUUAUUUUUCAGUAAUAUAUUUAAUUCUACCAUGACUUCACUUCAUACGGGAUUGUGAUUGGUUAAUUCAAAUAACUCUGGGGUAUAUAAUCACGUUAAAUACCUCUGGUUUUCCAACACAGUGUCGAUUUUUUAAAAAUCUUAAUAACGCGGUUAUGGUAGAAUGGAAAUAAACAUACUGUAUUGGAAAAUCAGAGGUAUAUGACGAAAUUAUAACAGCUCUAUAUUUUCUAUUUAAAACCUCAUGCUACGCGUUCGUAGCUCUGAAUUUGAUUUAAAACCGAACGCGUAGCAUGAGGUUUUAAAUAGAAAAUUUAGAGCUGUUAUAAUUUCGUUAUUCACCUUAUAUAACUGCUGGACAAUAACAACAUGCAGCAAAAGGAACUGAUACUCAUCCUCGAAACCAUUACUUAUCUCAUAUAGUUCACUAAAACUGCAAUAUUUAUCAUUCCUAUUCAUAUUAGCAUAACGGCCAUUUUGUAUUUUUAACUUGUGCAUAUAUUCUGAGCAUAGUGUGAUAAGUCCAAAUGUGACAUGCCUAAGUAUAUUUGGUAACCAAAAAUAGCUUUGAUAUUACCUUAAAGAGAAAGUUUUGAUGAGUCAGACACGUGGACGAUUCCAUUCUUAUAUGUAAUUAUUUUAAAUCAUAUUUAACCUUUCCCUUAUGUUGAAUGUCUUUCUUUAAAGAUUGCCUGACUAUCUGUUGACCUCUAUUUGUAGUAGUGGUGGUCCGAUUAAUUUAAAUAAUUGAAGAUUGGUCGCUGUGACUGAACGACCAAGCAAUCCAUCAUGUGUUCUCAUAAUCGAGCACAAACAAUUUUGAAACUCUUGUUUGCAUUAACAAUAUUUUUCACAAGGUUGGUCUUAUCUGUUACAUUUCAGAAGCACUACAAGCUCGUUCCUUGUUAUGAUUGAAUUUAUCUUAAAGACUCCAGGAAAAUGUUCCUAACAUACUAGUCAUCCUUUAAAGAUGUGCAAUUUGAAAACACCCCGCAAGAACUACCUGUUUCUUAUUUAUUGUUUUGAUGCAUUAAUAAACAUAACCAGGAAUAUUUGACAAAUGGCGCUAACCAAUUAUUUUCAAUGUUUGAUUGGUUGCAAUGAACCAAUCAUCCAUUAUGAGACUUUAACCAAUUCCCAACACUAAUUUGUAGUUAAUUGCCACAUGUUUAUAUCGUACAUUUUGUUUAUGUUGUAGGUCUCCAUGACAAGUCGCGCUUGAAAAGUCAAAACUUCGAAACCUGUGAUACACAUUCCACGUGGACUUAUGAGAACGUGAUUGUUUAUCCAUUGAUUGUUUACUUUAAGAGUAUAAGAUUAAAACAUUUCUGUGUGA